UGGGGAAUAUUGGACAAUGGGCGCAAGCCUGAUCCAGCCAUGCCGCGUGAGUGAAGAAGGCCUUCGGGUUGUAAAGCUCUUUUGUCAGGGAAGAAACGGGACCAGCUAAUAUCUGGUCCUAAUGACGGUACCUGAAGACUAAGCACCGGCUACCUACGUGCCAGCAGCCGCGGUAAUACGUAGGGUGCAAGCGUUAAUCGGAAUUACUGGGCGUAAAGCGUGCGCAGGCGGUUUUGUAAGUCUGACGUGAAAUCCCCGGGCUCAACCUGGGAAUUGCGUUGGAGACUGCAAGGCUAGAAUCUGGCAGAGGGGGGUAGAAUUCCACGUGUAGCAGUGAAAUGCGUAGAGAUGUGGAGGAACACCGAUGGCGAAGGCAGCCCCCUGGGUCAAGAUUGACGCUCAUGCACGAAAGCGUGGGGAGCAAA
Molecule: ribosomal RNA, 425 nt
Filed under: uncultured bacterium
Lineage: Bacteria
Description: bacterial SSU rRNA
Rfam family: Bacterial small subunit ribosomal RNA
Source: RNAcentral